CUUUUUGUUCAUGUGACCUGGUAUGUUAUAGUAGAAACAUUUGAUAUCUCUUCUAGACUUGGAUAUUUCUCUGUAACAAUGUGGAUUUCUACUAUGACUUCUUCCACGUCUUUCUUGUUUUUUAGUAACAAAUGCACCAUAAGAAGAUUCUCCCUAUUCUUUCCUUCUGGUAUCUUCAUUUAGUAAACUAUCUUUAACCAUAUCUAACCAACUU
This 214-nucleotide long non-coding RNA is filed under the name Musa acuminata (dwarf banana). RNAcentral's name for it is "long non-coding RNA (MACU_LNC010494)". Lineage: Eukaryota; Viridiplantae; Streptophyta; Magnoliopsida; Zingiberales; Musaceae. The record is from RNAcentral.